GACUCCGUGGCGCAAUGGAUAGCGCGUCGGACUUCUAGUGGUUUGAAGAUGUAAUUCGGAGGUUGUGGGUUCGAGUCCCACCGGAGUCG
RNAcentral lists this transfer RNA (89 nucleotides) under Helobdella robusta. RNAcentral describes it as "tRNA-Arg for anticodon UCU". It matches the Rfam family "tRNA". Rfam says of the family: Transfer RNA (tRNA) molecules are approximately 80 nucleotides in length. Their secondary structure includes four short double-helical elements and three loops (D, anti-codon, and T loops). Further hydrogen bonds mediate the characteristic L-shaped molecular structure. tRNAs have two regions of fundamental functional importance: the anti-codon, which is responsible for specific mRNA codon recognition, and the 3' end, to which the tRNAs corresponding amino acid is attached (by aminoacyl-tRNA synthetases). tRNAs cope with the degeneracy of the genetic code in two manners: having more than one tRNA (with a specific anti-codon) for a particular amino acid; and 'wobble' base-pairing, i.e. permitting non-standard base-pairing at the 3rd anti-codon position. The record is from Rfam by way of RNAcentral. Lineage: Eukaryota; Metazoa; Annelida; Clitellata; Rhynchobdellida; Glossiphoniidae.